This 253-nucleotide ribosomal RNA is filed under the name uncultured bacterium. Its description in RNAcentral is "partial 16S ribosomal RNA". It matches the Rfam family "Bacterial small subunit ribosomal RNA", at positions 524 to 776 of the family's 1533-position model. The record is from RNAcentral.
UACGUAGGCAGCAAGCGUUGUUCGGAGUUACUGGGCGUAAAGGGUGUGUAGGCGGUUUUCUAAGUCUGGUGUGAAAUCUCCCGGCUCAACUGGGAGGGUGCGCCGAAAACUGGAAGGCUAGAGUACUGGAUGGGAGAGUGGAAUUCCUGGUGUAGCGGUGAAAUGCGUAGAUAUCAGGAGGAACACCUGUGGUGUAGACGGCUCUCUGGACAGUAACUGACGCUGAGACGCGAAAGCGUGGGGAGCAAACAGG